RNAcentral lists this ribosomal RNA (253 nucleotides) under uncultured bacterium. RNAcentral's name for it is "partial 16S ribosomal RNA". It matches the Rfam family "Bacterial small subunit ribosomal RNA", at positions 524 to 776 of the family's 1533-position model. The record is from RNAcentral.
UACGUAGGGAGCAAGCGUUGUCCGGAUUUACUGGGUGUAAAGGGAGCGCAGGCGGGUUAGUCAGUCAGAGGUGAAAUCUCACAGCUUAACUGUGAAACUGCCUUUGAUACUGCUAAUCUUGAGUUAAUGAGAGAGAGACGGAAUUCCAGGUGUAGUGGUGAAAUACGUAGAUAUCUGGAAGAACACCAGUGGCGAAGGCGGUCUCUUGGCAUUAUACUGACGCUGAGGCUCGAAAGCGUGGGGAGCGAACAGG